GUAGGUGGAUGAAUAAGUGAAUAGUGAAAGCCGAUGGCUCAACCAUUUGGACUAUUAUUCAAACUGUUCGUCUCGAGAGUAGCAGAGGUAACUGGAAUUUCUUGUGUAGGAGUGGAAUCCGUAGAUAUAAGAAGGAACACCAAUGGCGUAGGCAGGUUACUGGGCUAUUUCUGACACUAAGGCACGAAAGCGUGGGGAGCGAACGGGAUUAGAUACCCCGGUAGUCCACGCCGUAAACGAUGGAUACUAGCUGUUGGAGGUAUCGACCCCUUCAGUAGCGAAGCUAACGCGUUAAGUAUCCCGCCUGUGGAGUACGGCCGCAAGGCUAAAACAUAAAGGAAUUGACGGGGACCCGCACAAGCGGUGGAUUAUGUUCUUUAAUUCGAUGAUAACCGAAGAACCUUACCAGGGCUUGACAUCCAGGGAAGCACUACGAAAGUAGAGUGUGCCUUUUGGAACCCUGUGACAGGUGAUGCAUGGCCGUCGUCAGCUCGUGUCGUGAGAUGUUAGGUUAAGUCCUUCAACGAGCGCAACCCUUGUGAAUAGUUGUAAUUUUCUAUUCAGACUGCCCCGGUAACGGGGAGGAAGGAGGGGAUGAUGUCAGGUCAGUAUUUCCCUUACGCCCUGGGCUAGAAACGUAAUACAAUGGCAAGUACAAUGCGCAGCGAAACCGCGAGGUGAAGCAAAUCGCAUCAAAGCUUGUCCCAGUUCGGAUUGGAGGCUGAAACUCGCCUCCAUGAAGUCGGAAUCGCUAGUAAUCGCAGAUCAGCAAGCUGCGGUGAAUACGUUCCCGGGUCUUGUACACACCGCCCGUCAAACCAUGAAAGUCACCAACACCCGAAGUCCGAUUAGUCGGCCUAAGGUGGGGGGGAUGAUUGGGGUU
RNAcentral lists this ribosomal RNA (883 nucleotides) under uncultured Candidatus Saccharibacteria bacterium. RNAcentral's name for it is "bacterial SSU rRNA". It matches the Rfam family "Bacterial small subunit ribosomal RNA", at positions 571 to 1482 of the family's 1533-position model. The record is from RNAcentral. Lineage: Bacteria; Candidatus Saccharimonadota.